This is a long non-coding RNA of Apus apus (common swift), 2437 nucleotides long. RefSeq lists it as uncharacterized. The record is from RefSeq and is a predicted model, not a curated record. Lineage: Eukaryota; Metazoa; Chordata; Aves; Apodiformes; Apodidae. The transcript has 6 exons.
CCGGAAGAGCCGCGGCCGGGUGCCGUGCUCCCGCGCGGGGCGGGGCCGGUGCGGCCACGCGGUGCGAGGCGGAAGUCGGCGGCCGAGGGUCCGUGGGACGCGUGAGGAGUCGGAUCGAUAGUUCUUUGGUGCCUCCAGACCCUAAACUUCAGUCAAACUGACCUACUCAGCUCCACCACUUGGCAGCCCUCAACGUUUUCCUGCUGACAUUAGAAGCAUUGCUCCAAAGUCUGAGAGGGAAAAGCCAUCCAAAAUCCAGUGUCUGUGACUUGGGAGAGGCAGUCUGUUACAAAAGCCUUUGCUCUCCGCCUUAUAAACUGAACGGGAGGAAAAAACGCAGAUGACUUUCUCACCCUGACUGCUGUGGAAAUGGUGAAUUUGCUCGGUAUUCAUCACAUGCAACUGUCAUCGGGCUACAGAUCAUCUGCACUCCGUGCUCUGAGGAGACAAUCUGCUGAGACAGUGAUGCAGAGCAACAAGCUGCACGCCAAAGGGCACGGAAGAGGGGAGCAGAGUGCUGGAUGAAGGCGGGCGGGCAUCCAGCGUUGGAGUAUUGGCAGGACCGCAGGUGGUUCUGACUAGCUAACGCUUUUCUGGCCUUGUGUUCUGGGUGCAGGUUUUGAGGCGCUGUGCUGUGCGGAGGGACAGGCGAAGAUGGAACUGGUGGCUGUGCUGUCUUCUGGGUGUAGGGUUUUUUAAUUUGAAGGUGCGUAGUGGGAUGUUGGCAGUGCAGGUGGCAGUGCAGGUGACUCGGGGAAGGUGAGCAAUUUAGUUUUCAGGUGUCACAUUGUCGGUCAGUAUCGAAGCGUCGCCUGGUUGUGUUCGUAGGUGGUACGUGAGCCUGGGGGUGGCAAUGUGUCAAUGGCAGAGACCGGACGGGCGAGCGUCCAAGGGGAAGGAGCAGGAGGCGGGAAUGAGUGCGGGCGGGCUGCUGUUUCAGGCAGCAUCUGAGUACAUGCCUUUUGCUUUGUGUGGUGCAGGUGCUUCAGGCAGGCUCGGGGAAUGGAGGCGCCUGCUGGCAAGCGGUCCGAGGCGAGGCAAGAAUUGGCUGGGCCAGCGUUUAAGAGCAGAGAAUCGUGUGGCAGCCCAGUGAAGCGUUUACCGUUUGGCAGAUGAAGAGGAACCUGGUGAUUGCAGGAGUAUCCCAGUUGGCUGAUGUGGCUUCCGUCGAGGAUGGCUUCUCUUCCCCGGGCUGCUGGGAGCUGGCUGGAAGGAGCAGGGAGCGCUGCCCCACGGCGCGUGAUACAGACGUCAGCUUGGGAGUGAUUUUUCCAAACUGGAAGCGCUUUGCCUUCCGAGAGGUUGUGUUUUAGGAGCUUCCCAGCAGAGCGAGUAUUAAGAAGAGGGUGUGCUUAGCAGUCAAAGCCACCAGCAACAAGACUUUCCACUGUCCUGAAAAAAAAAAGGGAAAAAGGUGAAUUUCCUUCCAAAGACUCCUGCACAGCACAUGCUCCAGAAAUGGGUGGUGUCGCUGGUCCUUACGCUUUCUCAGUUGUAGCAGUUGGGACAUCAUCAAAAUGUGUUCCUUCCCCAUGCUUCGGUACAGCCAAAAGCAUUAGCAGCUGGGCCAGUCCUUUGUGGUAGCCUUAUGUAUCGCAGCACUGGGGGGGGGUGUGUGUGUGAUUUUCUUUGGUGUUUUUUUGUUUGUUUGUUUUUGUUGUGUUGUUUUUGGGGUUUUUUUUUUUUUUUUUUUUUUUUCCCCAAAGCGCUGGCGAUUGUUGGCUGUGUUUUCUUGCAGCUGAACAGCUGGAGUUUGGCUAACUGUGGCAGAGCGGAGGGUCUAUGCUCCUUUUUGCAUUUGGGGGCUGAGGGUGGAUCCAGCUGCCCCCAGCUUCCUCUCCGAGAAGGAGUUUAGAGAGCAAGGGGAUCCAGUCUGAACCUCACGACUUGGCAGGAGGGUCUUUCUGGACUCCUUGUUUAACAAGAAGUUGAAACUAUGUGGUGGGUUUCUUCCCUCACUGCCUUGCUGUCAUGAUUGAAACUUGAAAAAAGUUAAAAUGUUAUAAAUUAGAAAUUGCCUUGUAUUGUUUAUCAUGUAAGUGUCAAGAGCUGUAGCAGAUAGUUUAUGAGGUGUGCUUCAGGAGGUAGGUAUUUGUUCCAAAGGUUUAAAAAGAGAGGCAGGUGGAUGUUAUGUAGUUUCCCCCCAGUGUCUCCACGAGUCCUCUGAAGGCCUGGGUUUGGCUUUCACUGGUGCAUUUCCCUGGGAGGGGGUCGGGAGGGUCUGUCUCCUGGGCAGACAUCCUUUAGAACUGUGCAACAUUCAAAAAAAGCCCCUUGUGGAAUUCUGCCCGAGUUCCGGAGACAGGUAACGGUGUCAGUUCACAGCCGUGCGAGUUCAAGUCACGCCGAAGGAAAGGUCAAGGGUUUUUUUACAGAGGUGUGUUGAUUGUAUGUUUGUAAACAUCUGCACCCUUUUUAAUCAUGAGGUGAAACACUG